This 73-nucleotide transfer RNA is filed under the name Planctomycetota bacterium. RNAcentral describes it as "Planctomycetes bacterium tRNA-Lys". It matches the Rfam family "tRNA". From Rfam's summary of the family: Transfer RNA (tRNA) molecules are approximately 80 nucleotides in length. Their secondary structure includes four short double-helical elements and three loops (D, anti-codon, and T loops). Lineage: Bacteria; Pseudomonadati; Planctomycetota. The record is from RNAcentral.
GAGGCUGUAGCUCAGCCGGUAGAGCAACGGACUUUUAAUCCGUAGGUCUGGGGUUCGAAUCCCCACAGCCUCA